UAAGAGGUCCCGCCUGCCCUGUGACUAUAUGUUUAACGGCCGCGGUAUCUUAACCGUGCGAAGGUAGCGCAAUCACUUGUCUUUUAAAUGGAGACCUGUAUGAAUGGCAUAACGAGGGCUUAACUGUCUCCUUUCUCAAGUCAAUGAAAUUGAUCUCCCCGUGCAGAAGCGGGGAUUAACACAUAAGACGAGAAGACCCUAUGGAGCUUUAGACAUAAGAUAGAUUACCUUAAUCAACCCAGAACAAAGGGCGGAACCAGAGGUAAACCUUUCCAACGUCUUUGGUUGGGGCGACCGUGGGGUAAAACAAAACCCCCAUGUGGAAUAGGAGCACCUCUCCUUCAACCUAGAGCUCCCGCUCUAAGGAACAGAAUUUCUGACCAAUUAAUGAUCCGGCAAUGCCGAUCAACGGACCGAGUUACCCUAGGGAUAACAGCGCAAUCCCCUUUUAGAGCCCAUAUCGACAAGGGGGUUUACGACCUCGAUGUUGGAUCAGGACAUCCUAAUGGUGCAGCCGCUAUUAAGGGUUCGUUUGUUCAACG
This 542-nucleotide ribosomal RNA is filed under the name Morone saxatilis (striped sea-bass). RNAcentral describes it as "partial 16S large subunit ribosomal RNA". It matches the Rfam family "Bacterial large subunit ribosomal RNA", at positions 1846 to 2586 of the family's 2925-position model. Lineage: Eukaryota; Metazoa; Chordata; Actinopteri; Moronidae. The record is from RNAcentral. RNAcentral also lists the same sequence under 1 other name.